AAAGAGCUUAGCUAACAAACAAAGAUUCUGACAAUAAAUUUUGCUCACGUUUCCAUCAACCUCAAACACUGACAGGUCAUUUCUUCUGUAGAUUUCAUUGGCUGGAGGAUGAAACCAGCCACACUUCUUUGAAUGCCUUAACAAAAUGUUUUUACUUUUCAUAUAUUUAAGACAGAAUUCACACAGGUAAAGCUUUGGUAGUCUUGCAUAUUCCUGUGGGUAAGGUGAAGAGUACCACGUCUGGAUCUCAUAUUUUCCAAACUCAAUCACUGAAGGGUAUCGCCCACUUGUUUCACCAGUGUUUUUACACCCAAUUUUCUCCAGGGAAAGUUCCCGAGCCUGUUUAAAUACGUCCAAAUCCUCCUGCGUAACCGUGUCCUUGCUUCCCACCAGAUAUACAUCUGUGUUUUCUUGUUUGAUGCUUAGUUUGAUUUCAGUAUCUGUAGCCAACACAAGAGAAGUGCAUGACUGUUUCUGAGAGACCUUUUUCC
RNAcentral lists this long non-coding RNA (491 nucleotides) under Gallus gallus (chicken). The record is from RNAcentral. Lineage: Eukaryota; Metazoa; Chordata; Aves; Galliformes; Phasianidae.